Molecule: long non-coding RNA, 510 nt
Organism: Esox lucius (northern pike)
Lineage: Eukaryota; Metazoa; Chordata; Actinopteri; Esociformes; Esocidae
Source: Ensembl
GCGACGCCUCAGGUGGUGAGGUUCCUUAACGGUUGCCCCUUUGAUAUAAAACUCCCGAGUUGCUUCUUUGCAGCUGGGUCCUCCUUCCUGCGUCAUGUGUUGGUGGUGUGUCCUAGCUCGGGAUUGUCAUUAGCCAAAGGCCAGAAGUUACCUUCCGCUGGUGGUCGUCACUACCACUCUGUUCCCUGCAACACACUUCGAACAAAUUGCCGUGCUGGCCCACGUGUCGGGCAUCGCUGAACGUCCGUCUGAUUCCGGUUUGUCUGGAUCCAUAUUAAGACGACAGGCAUUGGCACAAUUUCCCAGCAGGCGAUGUGACAUGUUCUGGCGACAGUCGCGGAUUUAUUUUCCCUCUAAUGAAGAUGUUCACCUGGGUUGACCAUUCACCCGGAACCUACGCAGGUCCAGCCGAACAGCCCGGUGAACUGGACAAAUGAGAAGAGAUCGAAAAACCUACCAUUUAAUUACAGCAAAGUCCAAAAACAAACUUUGGCCCAGAGUUAUUUACGU